This 478-nucleotide ribosomal RNA is filed under the name uncultured bacterium. Its description in RNAcentral is "partial 16S ribosomal RNA". It matches the Rfam family "Bacterial small subunit ribosomal RNA", at positions 28 to 523 of the family's 1533-position model. The record is from RNAcentral.
GACGAACGCUGGCGGCGUGCUUAACACAUGCAAGUCGAACGGUAAGGCCCUUCGGGGUACACGAGUGGCGAACGGGUGAGUAACACGUGGGUGAUCUGCCCUGCACUUCGGGAUAAGCCUGGGAAACUGGGUCUAAUACCGGAUAGGACUCCGGACUGCAUGGUCUGGGGUGGAAAGCUUUUGCGGUGUGGGAUGGGCCCGCGGCCUAUCAGCUUGUUGGUGGGGUGAUGGCCUACCAAGGCGACGACGGGUAGCCGGCCUGAGAGGGUGACCGGCCACACUGGGACUGGGAUACGGCCCAGACUCCUACGGGAGGCAGCAGUGGGGAAUAUUGCACAAUGGGCGCAAGCCUGAUGCAGCGACGCCGCGUGAGGGAUGACGGCCUUCGGGUUGUAAACCUCUUUCAGCAUCGACGAAGCGAAAGUGACGGUAGGUGCGGAAGAAGGACCGGCCUACUACGUGCCAGCAGCCGCCGUAA